UCCACCCCCACAUCCUCCCAAACCCUGGCUCCAUCAAGUCAGGCAGAAGGAGCAUCUUCUGAGGUGGAGACUUUAAUCCGAGACAUAUGGGCAGGGAGGAGGAAGGAGACGCUAUGGGCCAAGUAUGGCCCAUACAAAGUUUACAGCGAGAACCUCAUGGUCUUGGCCCCAGGACAGCAGUUGGAGGGAGAGGUAAGCCUACUUUAUAACACUUGACACUGUUUAAUUUGUUGCACUUCCACAGAUCAUGUAUCUGAGGGGAAACAGGUCCCUUUUUGGACCCAUUUGGGGCCAUCAAAGAACAGAUAAGCCGCUGCAAAGACCUAACACGAUCGCUGGUCCGCAAGACAAACCCAGCUGUUGUGAGAUGGGCAUGUGACAGCAUGGAUCAUCCCAAACAGCAGGACACAGCAUCAUGCGGUGUGUUGAUUUGCAAGCUUGCAGAGAAAAUAAUAUUGGACCAGAAGCAGAAGGUCCAAUACCUUGUUGACCAGGCGGGUGUGGCCUCAAUGAGGUUCGACAUGGCAAUGUCCCUGGUGAAAAAUUCCGGUAUACAGGACUAAACCAGAGAAACAAAAAAAUAUUCUGUAUUUUUUGGCAUUUCACUACAUUUAUGCCGGUAUUUGUUUUUUACAGAUGACCUAUCCCAGCUGUGUCGGGCCUGUGGGGAACUUAGUUCAGGGUUCACCAAGGUUGACCAAUGGGUAAGACGUUGUAUUAAUUCCCUGACCACCAUUUGGCUGGAAGACUGGGAUACACCCUGGAUAGGUUACCUCAACCUCACCGGGUGAACACUAUAACAGAUAUUGAACAUUUCUACUUUAAUUCACCAAACUUGCAUGUAUUUGCACUAUGGGAGAACAUUGGUGUAGUGGAAGGAACUUCUGAGCACGGACUCUACACAGAAAGGACCACAGAUAAGAUCCCAACCUAUACAUUGCUUGCUUAGUUAAAUGUUAACAGCGUGAUUGUAAAGCGUACUCUGGAUGAGUGAUGUUAACCUAAAAAAUGUACACACACAC
Molecule: long non-coding RNA, 1022 nt
Organism: Gymnodraco acuticeps
Lineage: Eukaryota; Metazoa; Chordata; Actinopteri; Perciformes; Bathydraconidae
Exons: 4
Source: RefSeq, a predicted model, not a curated record